CCGACUGCCGUGAACGAGAUCUCUCUGCGAGGAGCUCGGGAAAUCGGAGAGAAUCACGACAGAUGCAGAGCAGCAGAGGCGAACGCUGUUGCAGCCUGCAGAGACGCGCAGAGGCGAACGACAGGCGCGCGAUGCCGGUGAACGGUGGAGUGGUGAACGGUGGAACGGUGGAAUGGCGUGGAGUUGGAAACUUGGAGUUGGAGGAACCUUGGAGGCGCGCUGCUGUGCUGAAGCGUGAAAUUCAAAACCAAAGCAAACCCUAAAGCUAAAAUCAUAAUAUUUCAAUUUUAAUUUUUUUUUUUUUAAAAUUCGAUAGCCCGACGGGCUGGCCCGACAACCCGCCGGGCUGGCCCGCUUCAACCCGACAGCCCGAACGGGCUAGCCCGAUUAGCCCGAUUUGUAAUCGGGUUGUGAUUUUCCAACCCUAACCCUCUAAUUUUGUCGGGUUAUUCGGGUCGGCCCACGGGUUUCGGGCUGCAUUGACAUCCCUAA
RNAcentral lists this long non-coding RNA (492 nucleotides) under Salvia miltiorrhiza (redroot sage). RNAcentral describes it as "long non-coding RNA (SMIL_LNC000069)". The record is from RNAcentral. Lineage: Eukaryota; Viridiplantae; Streptophyta; Magnoliopsida; Lamiales; Lamiaceae.